Molecule: ribosomal RNA, 480 nt
Filed under: uncultured bacterium
Lineage: Bacteria
Description: bacterial SSU rRNA
Rfam family: Bacterial small subunit ribosomal RNA
Source: RNAcentral
UCGAGCGAGGCGGGGAGCAAUCCCCAGUCGAGCGGCGAACGGGUGAGUAACGCGUGGAUGACCUGCCCUUUGGUGGGGGAUAACUCGGGGAAACUCGAGCUAAUACCGCAUAUCACCGAGAGGUGAAAGCGGGCCGCAAGGCUCGCGCCGAAGGAGGGGUCCGCGUCCGAUUAGCUAGUUGGUGGGGUAAUGGCCUACCAAGGCGACGAUCGGUAGCCGGCCUGAGAGGGUGAUCGGCCACACUGGAACUGAGACACGGUCCAGACUCCUACGGGAGGCAGCAGUGGGGAAUUUUGCGCAAUGGGCUAACGCCUGACGCAGCAACGCCGCGUGGAGGAUGAAGGUCUUUGGAUUGUAAACUCCUGUCAGCAGGGAAAAAGGGACUGGACCUAAUACGUCCGGGACUUGAUUGUACCUGCAGAGGAAGCCCCGGCUAACUCUGUGCCAGCAGCCGCGGUAAUACAGAGGGGGCAAGCGUUA